Mytilus trossulus (common blue mussel) is the source of this 1986-nucleotide long non-coding RNA. RefSeq lists it as uncharacterized. The transcript has 3 exons. NCBI's taxonomy places the organism in Eukaryota, Metazoa, Mollusca, Bivalvia, Mytilida, Mytilidae. The record is from RefSeq and is a predicted model, not a curated record.
UUGUUUCCAAUUUAUAACGAACAAGAUGGACACAGUUUACAAAAGCAAAAGAUUUGAUGUGAUCUGUGAAACUGUUUGUGAAACACACAUGUAUACUCAAGAGAAUUAACAAGACUUUUAUCAGUCUUAUUUUGAUGAAUUGUUGAACCAUAGAAAUGUAAAGACCUACAGACACCUAGACUGUAUAGUCAACAAUGAUUAGAGAAUCAGCCUAUUUAUUCAACAUUACAAUGAUUAGAGAAUCAGCCUAUAUAGUCAACAUUACAAUGAUUAGAGAAUCAGUCUGUAUAGUCAACAUUACAAUGAUUAGAGAAUCAGCCAGCUGCAUUUCAUCAAUCAGUUAAUGAUGAAGCUUUGCAGCAUUGGAAAUGAUUACUCGGGAACCAAACAACUGAGCAGAAAGAAGAACUGUAUCCAAUGACCUUGAAGAGUAAGCAAAAGAAGAACCGUAUCCAAUGACCUUGAAGAGUAAGCAAUGUAUUAAGUAUAUUUGGGGUUACCAAAGAGUAUGGUAAGAACCUCAUCUAAAAUUAUACUUGGUGAGUAUUCUUUUUGUUGGUUAAAUAUUAUGCAUCAUUAUGAAAAAUGGGGGAUAUAGGGUAUACACCAACAAGACAGCGACCAAAUGAAAAUAAAUAGACAUUUUAAUAGAGGACUUCAACUAUUAUAGUCUGAUGAUACAAUACUUAAUUUUUGUAAAUCAUCCAAAGUCUGAAAUAUUUGUGAAUAAAAUGAACAGACUAACAAAUAACUUACAUACACACCAAUAUCUGACCUACUAAGCACAUGAGCAUGUUGCGGGGUGAAACCAUUUUUUUUAUAUAAAGCUUGAGUCCGUUUUUUGCAAUGCCUAACCAAACUACAAAAUUUUAUACAGAAAACUUUUUAAAUUGAGGGGUUUCAAAUUUUAAAUAAGCUAUAAUUUAUGUUUUAUUAAAAAAAAAAUGCCAGAUGCAAUUAACAAACAACAAAAUAUUUGGAAAUCCUGACUCCCCUGCAAAAGAAAAAGUGUCACUCUUUUUAUUGAGGAAAAUGGCCACUACCUCAAUGGUCUUUAAAAUUAAUUCAGUUGCUCUGGUCAUUUUUCAAAAUUGAACAAGUGUAUGGAACUGUUUUGAUGAGGCUUACCUUUAAUUAAUGGGAUAUAAUUGUGACCACAUGAAUCAUAAUUCUGAAAACUUAAAGAGGGGUCCUGAUCCCGAAAUCCUGGGCUUAAAAACACGAAUUCCUGAGGUCCUGAAUUUAAAUAAAUUUAAAUCUCGACAUCUCGAACAAAGAUUUCCUGUAUCCCGAAAUCCUGUGCUUAAAAACACCUGAUCUUGGAGUCCCAAUAAAGGUCCUAUCCCCCCUCACAUCUAUAAUUGAUAACUAAGAUAAAAGAAAUACAGAAAUUGUUUUGCCUUUUGCCAUGCUUACAUCAACAAAAGAAUUAUUUUUUCAUUUUUCAAAAUAAUUUCCAAGAUGUAGAAUGCCAUUCUUCUAACAAAAUACCACAGCAUGAAGACCCUAAUCAGCACACUAAAAUGUCCAAUGUGUGUCCUACAUCUUGAAAUAAAUAUAAAUUUAUAAAUGUCCAAAUAUUUCAAAAAAUUUUUUUUUAUUUUUUUACUCAUUUCUACUCUGUUGAGACAAAUUCACUAGCACUGCACUUUGAUUUUGACGAAGACGAACAAAGUGUUUAUUGAAAUUGAAUGGCAUUAUUGACCUAGUGACAACUUUGUUUGGGACAUGGAAAGCUUUUCGUCAUUGUUGGUUGUUUUAUUGGCUUUCACCUCUUGAGUCACAAAGAACCUUAUGUACGUUAGUUUCAUUGAAAUGUUAUAUGCAUUGUCAAUGCUAAACAUUUGAUUGACUUUGACUGUCAAUGCUAAACAUUUGAUUGACUUUGACUGUGUUUUUUUUUAGUUUCUUCAGAGUGAUAAUGAGUUUGAACAAAACAGAAUAUAAUCUUUUCUUAGUGAUAAGAAGUUUUGACUCUCAUUUUUG